Molecule: long non-coding RNA, 1295 nt
Organism: Topomyia yanbarensis
Lineage: Eukaryota; Metazoa; Arthropoda; Insecta; Diptera; Culicidae
Exons: 3
Source: RefSeq, a predicted model, not a curated record
GUCAGGCAAUUGUGUGCUCAUUGUACGGAAUAAUCUUUCCAUUUCGUGGUAAAAUUCAAGGAAAGUUUCAUUUCUUUGUUGUCUACGUUGGUAGACUUUCAUUUUAAUAAGUGCGUCUAAGUCUGGAUGCAUAAAUGAUCGUCGUAAUUCUAGCACCAAAUGUUGCCAGUUUAAAAGGCGACCGGUACUACGCAUAGUCAUGUACCAUUUGAGUGCUGGACCUGAGAAUAAGUGCACCGCCGACUCAAAUAACUCGGUUUCGGAAACGUGUUCCGCCACAGAUAAUGCUUGUAUAAUUUCUAAGAAUUCGUUAAGUUUAAGUCCCUGAUCAUCGCCAUCAUAUUUAGAAAUGGGCCAUUUUGACACCGGUAACCUUUGCUGAGAGUGAUUACUCGGAGGAGUGGGAAUAAACUUUGUCGUAGAAUGAUUGUAAGGUUGCCUAUGGUUAUUAAUUACUUCUUGCCAAUUAUUGCUACCGUGAUUACAUGCCCGAGGAUCGGUUGGAACUGGGUUGUGAUUGCUUGACUGUUGCCAGUAUUGGUACGGGUUCGCGUAAACGAAGAAUGGGUUAUUGUUAUCGAGGGUUGGAUGAAAAGUGGCAUUUCUAGCUGUGUUGGAUGAUGUACCGGCUUGGUCAAGACAUGCGUUAUUAUUUGCUUUUGAUUUCAAAAUGGAGGGUUGCUUUUUUGAGGGCCCUGGUGGGGCUGUAUUACGCGGGCACUGCAUACUUGCCAAUUCGUUUUCUAAUUGCUCGAUUCGACCUUGGAGAGAAUUUAUCAUUUCAAUAUCUACCGAUUUACGUUUCUUUUUUCGAUCUUGCGAUUCAUCAGGUGACGAAGAAUUUUCGGACUCAUCGCCAGCUGGUGUAUCAUCAUCGAGUAAAUCUCCAUGAUCACUGUCUGCGUUCCCGUCGCGUUCCAGUUCAGGUUCCGAAGUCUUAUUUGUUUGGUUAAGGAGCUGAUAACUACGGUGGUCCCGUAAGCUACGUUUUCUUCGGGAAAACGUGGGAUCCUCGCGAAUUACGAUGGAUCUAACUGUAGUUUCAAAAACUAUUUCAUCUUGUUCUAAGUGAUCUAUCCUCAUUUCGUAGUACCACGUUUUCAUCCAUUCCACUGCUUGAUCAAAAUUUAGAUUAACCUCUGCCAUUUUCAAAACGAAAAAAAAGAACAAUUGGUUUCGAAACAAAGCGUUCAAAUGAGAACAAAAGAACUAGGUAACGAUCACUCAAUCCCCGGAAAUUAAUCUCACCCGUCAGUCUAAAUGAAAAAGGCUGAAUUCUGGUAAAUGGUCAAACA